GCGUGCCAAUUGGUUCCGAAUCAUCAACGUGAUUGCGGGGGUGAUUGAUAUCAUAAAAUGGAUGGAGGAGACGCGUUGUUGGAGGAAUCCGACUGCUACGGUGUUGGUACAUGCAUUGUUGGUGAUGCUGGUGUGGUUCCCUGAUUUAAUUAUCCCCACCUUGGCAUUUUACAUGUUUGUAGUUGGGGUGUGGAAUUAUAGGUUAAGGUCACGGGAGCCACUGCCGCACUUUGAUCCCAAGAUCUCAUUGGCGGAUACGAUUGAUCGGGAUGAGCUGGAUGAAGAGUUUGAUGNNNNNNNNNNNNNNNNNNNNNNNNNNNNNNNNNNNNNNNNNNNNNNNNNNNNNNNNNNNNNNNNNNNNNNNNNNNNNNNNNNNNNNNNNNNNNNNNNNNNAGUUUGAUAUUUUUUUAUUAUUAUAAUGUUGAGAUAUUGGACUACAUUAAAUAUAUUAUUCAUUUGUUCCAUCUUUAAUGUAAUAGUCAAUAUUUUAGUUUUUUAAAUUGAUUAAAAAAUCAUAAUUAAUAGUCAUUAUUGAGAAGAAGUUUCACUAGCCUUAUUUGUGGAAUAGAACCAUAUAUGUGUGUAUAUAUAUAUAUAUACUUUUUAAUCUCUCUCUCCGGCCCUUGGUCCAUACAAAAGUAUGGUCAGUUUGAAAAAGUAGAAGAGAAUCUUCAUCAACUAAAGGAAGGGAUUAAUAUUAUCAAUAUGGUAAUGAUUUAAAAUCAUAUAUAGGGGGAAUCAAAUGUUAACAAUUAAUAUGGUACCUAUUUUUGUUCAAAUUCUAUCACUUAUGUUAGUAACUAUUUUUGGUUUUUGAAUUAUGAUUCAUCUUAUAUUUAUUUACAUAUUUUGCGCCUAUAAGUUUUACAAUGUAUAGUAUGAAUAUAAGUUUGAAUAUCACUGCGCGCAAUUUAAUUUAUACUUAUAAUGCGCGUCUCUUUCUUCUUAGCAAUACAAAGACAAGCACGUAUAUAUACAUACAUAUAAUAUAUACUGUAAAAGCAGUGCGAAAGAAAACGAAAAAAGUGAAAAAGUAGAAUCUAAAUGCUGGAAAAGGAAAAUAUUAUCUUAAGAAGCAAUAAGUAAAGCAAUAUUAUUAAUUAAUAUAUAAGAAAAAGAAGGAUUUGAAUAAUUUGUAUUACUGGCCUAAGGCUAAGGCUGCUUGCUUGCACAUGAAGUUAAGUACCUUUCUUAUCUCCUGCCCUUUAUUUUCCACCUAAGAACUCCAUUAUACUCUUUCUAUGUUAUAUAAAACUACCCUUAAUUUCCCCUAACCCAAAAACCCUCUUUCUUCAAUUUCAUCCCAUAAAUUUCCCAAACUCCCCCCACCGUACGUAUUACUAGCUGCUACACAAAAUGUGACUAAACUUGAUCUCCUCUAAAACUUUUAAGAAUUAGAUAGCUAGCUAGCUGGGGAGUCGCUAAAUCAAUAUUAAUUAAUUGUUUCGCCCAGUUCUGUCCAAUCGAUCCAUCGUGUCAUGGCGGUAGGUAGUAUUCGAAAGUUAGUGGUGGAGGUGGUGGAUGCCCGUAAUCUUUUGCCGAAAGAUGGGCAUGGAACGUCGAGUCCUUACGUGAUUCUUGAUUUCUAUGGUCAAAGAAGAAAGACAAGAAGCAUUAUCUGUGACCUAAAUCCGGUAUGGAAUGAGACCGUUUCUUUUAAUGUUGGGAAGCCAUCUAGUGUUUUCGGUGACAUGCUUGAGGUGGAUGUUUAUCACGAUAAAAACAUCGGUCCUACUACUAGAAAUAAUUUCCUCGGUAGAGUUCGCUUGAAUUCCCGCCAGUUUGUUAGGAGAGGCGAGGAGGCUUUGAUUUAUUAUACUCUGGAGAAAAAGAAUUUGUUUUCUUGGAUUCAAGGUGAAAUCGGUUUAAAGAUUUAUUUUACGGAUCAUGAGCCUNNNNNNNNNNNNNNNNNNNNNNNNNNNNNNNNNNNNNNNNNNNNNNNNNNNNNNNNNNNNNNNNNNNNNNNNNNNNNNNNNNNNNNNNNNNNNNNNNNNNGAAGCUGCUUCAACACAAGAGGCACAAUUGGAUCCUCAUCAAAUGAAGGCAUCUAUAGAAUCAGGAUCAAUACCAGAAGUCAAAGUCGGUAGUACAUACGGUCCACGACCAAUCUCACGCGCUGCAUCAGUCAGUAGCUUCAUAUCAGACGCAUCAGACAACAUUUCAAUCGAACGUCCCUCAUUCGACCUUGUGGAGAAAAUGCACUACCUCUUCAUUCGAGUUGUCAAAGCUCGAUCUCUCCCUACUCCCGGCAAUCCGGUGGUCAAGAUUAUUGUAUCAGGUUCCCAAGUCACAUCCAAACCCGCUCGUAUAACCAUGUUCUUCGAGUGGGAUCAAACUUUUGCAUUCAGCCGCGACGCACCAGAUUCCUCUUCCAUCCUAGAAGUGUCAGUGUGGGACUCGCUAAUUUCCAGCUCGACGUCCGACGUGGCAGGUCAUAGCUUCUUAGGUGGCAUAUGCUUCGAUGUGACUGAGAUCCCACUGCGGGACCCACCGGAUAGCCCGCUGGCUCCGCAAUGGUACAGACUUGAAGGAGGUGGCGCCCAUAAAGGCGAUCUCAUGCUUGCCACGUGGGUUGGGACACAAGCUGACGAGUCAUUCCCAGAAGCAUGGAAGACCGACACAGCCGGUAAUCCCAGUUCACGAUCUAAAGUCUACCAAUCACCUAAAUUGUGGUAUUUGAGAUCAACCGUGAUUGAGGCCCAAGACAUAUCCGGGUUAGCGCCGUCAAGAGAUUCAUCCUUCCAAGUUAAAGCUCAGUUGGGAUUUCAAGUACAAAAGACUAAGCUAUCUCCCACACGUAACGGAUCUCCGUCAUGGAAUGAAGACUUGAUGUUUGUAGCUGCUGAGCCAUUUAGUGACAGCCAACUAGUAUUCUUUCUAGUGGAAUACCGGGAACCUAAAGAACAGGUUAUCCUAGGGGUUGCUAGCAUACCACUCACGUCCAUAGAGCGCCGUGUUGACGACCGGAAUGUGGUAUCAAGAUGGUUCACCUUUGAAGAUCCAAAUCAAGACAAGAGAGUAUAUAAAGGUAGGGUCCACCUAAGGGUAUGUUUCGACGGUGGAUAUCACGUGAUGGAUGAAGCUGCUCACGUGUGUAGCGAUUAUCGUCCGACCGCGAAGCAGCUUUGGAAACCCCCUGUUGGGACAGUUGAGCUGGGGAUCAUUGGAUGCAAGAAUUUAUUACCUAUGAAGACCAUCAACAACAAGGGUUCUACUGACGCAUAUGCAGUGGCGAAGUAUGGUAACAAAUGGGUACGCACUCGCACGGUGUGUGAUACCCUGGACCCGAAAUGGAAUGAGCAGUACACGUGGAGGGUUUACGAUCCGUCCACAGUGUUGACGAUUGGUGUUUUUGACGGUUGGGAAGUAUUCGAAUCAGACGGCCAGAGAGUGUCCACGCGCCCUGAUUUUCGGAUUGGAAAGGUACGCAUACGAAUCUCCACCCUAGAGACUGGUAAGGUGUACAAAAAUAUGUUUCCAUUGCUUUCGUUAUCUCCUGCUGGAUUAAAGAAAAUGGGUGAAAUAGAGGUGGCCGUACGAUUCGCACGUGCGACUCCCACGNNNNNNNNNNNNNNNNNNNNNNNNNNNNNNNNNNNNNNNNNNNNNNNNNNNNNNNNNNNNNNNNNNNNNNNNNNNNNNNNNNNNNNNNNNNNNNNNNNNNAAAGAAUUUGUUUUCUUGGAUUCAAGGUGAAAUCGGUUUAAAGAUUUAUUUUACGGAUCAUGAGCCUUCUCCGCCACCAGCACCACCCCCUCCCCCUCCACCACAGCAGGAAACUAAGUCUGAUCCACCACCACCAAUUGCAGAGGGAGCACCAGAAGCUGCAAAUUCUGAUCCGCCACAACCGGAUGGUGGCAAUCCAAGUGAAGCUGCGCCUCCACCGCCGCCUGCUGACGCCGUACCGCCACCUCCACCGCUGUCUGCUGACGCCGUAGCUUCACCUCCAGCUGAAAACGGGCCGUCAGCUGCUAAUGCUGGGGCACCAACAACACCGCCACUUGCUGAAGCUGCACCAUCGCCGCCGGCGAAUGUCACUCCUGAAGCUGAGCCCCUAGUCCAAGGAGCUAACAAUCCAGUGGAAGCUGCUUCAACACAAGAGGCACAAUUGGAUCCUCAUCAAAUGAAGGCAUCUAUAGAAUCAGGAUCAAUACCAGAAGUCAAAGUCGGUAGUACAUACGGUCCACGACCAAUCUCACGCGCUGCAUCAGUCAGUAGCUUCAUAUCAGACGCAUCAGACAACAUUUCAAUCGAACGUCCCUCAUUCGACCUUGUGGAGAAAAUGCACUACCUCUUCAUUCGAGUUGUCAAAGCUCGAUCUCUCCCUACUCCCGGCAAUCCGGUGGUCAAGAUUAUUGUAUCAGGUUCCCAAGUCACAUCCAAACCCGCUCGUAUAACCAUGUUCUUCGAGUGGGAUCAAACUUUUGCAUUCAGCCGCGACGCACCAGAUUCCUCUUCCAUCCUAGAAGUGUCAGUGUGGGACUCGCUAAUUUCCAGCUCGACGUCUGACGUGGCAGGUCAUAGCUUCUUAGGUGGCAUAUGCUUCGAUGUGACUGAGAUCCCACUGCGGGACCCACCGGAUAGCCCGCUGGCUCCGCAAUGGUACAGACUUGAAGGAGGUGGCGCCCAUAAAGGCGAUCUCAUGCUUGCCACGUGGGUUGGGACACAAGCUGACGAGUCAUUCCCAGAAGCAUGGAAGACCGACACAGCCGGUAAUCCCAGUUCACGAUCUAAAGUCUACCAAUCACCUAAAUUGUGGUAUUUGAGAUCAACCGUGAUUGAGGCCCAAGACAUAUCCGGGUUAGCGCCGUCAAGAGAUUCAUCCUUCCAAGUUAAAGCUCAGUUGGGAUUUCAAGUACAAAAGACUAAGCUAUCUCCCACACGUAACGGAUCUCCGUCAUGGAAUGAAGACUUGAUGUUUGUAGCUGCUGAGCCAUUUAGUGACAGCCAACUAGUAUUCUUUCUAGUGGAAUACCGGGAACCUAAAGAACAGGUUAUCCUAGGGGUUGCUAGCAUACCACUCACGUCCAUAGAGCGCCGUGUUGACGACCGGAAUGUGGUAUCAAGAUGGUUCACCUUUGAAGAUCCAAAUCAAGACAAGAGAGUAUAUAAAGGUAGGGUCCACCUAAGGGUAUGUUUCGACGGUGGAUAUCACGUGAUGGAUGAAGCUGCUCACGUGUGUAGCGAUUAUCGUCCGACCGCGAAGCAGCUUUGGAAACCCCCUGUUGGGACAGUUGAGCUGGGGAUCAUUGGAUGCAAGAAUUUAUUACCUAUGAAGACCAUCAACAACAAGGGUUCUACUGACGCAUAUGCAGUGGCGAAGUAUGGUAACAAAUGGGUACGCACUCGCACGGUGUGUGAUACCCUGGACCCGAAAUGGAAUGAGCAGUACACGUGGAGGGUUUACGAUCCGUCCACAGUGUUGACGAUUGGUGUUUUUGACGGUUGGGAAGUAUUCGAAUCAGACGGCCAGAGAGUGUCCACGCGCCCUGAUUUUCGGAUUGGAAAGGUACGCAUACGAAUCUCCACCCUAGAGACUGGUAAGGUGUACAAAAAUAUGUUUCCAUUGCUUUCGUUAUCUCCUGCUGGAUUAAAGAAAAUGGGUGAAAUAGAGGUGGCCGUACGAUUCGCACGUGCGACUCCCACGCUAGAUAUUUUGCACUUGUACUCGAUGCCUCUAUUGCCCAUAAUGCACCACAUCAAGCCUAUUGGUGUGAUGCAACAAGAGAUGUUGAGAUCCACGGCUGUUAAGAUCGUGUGCGCACACUUGUCACGAUCUGAGCCACCCCUUCCACGCGAGGUCAUAACGUAUAUGCUGGAUGCCGAUUCGCACGCGUUCAGCAUGCGUAAAGUGCGUGCCAAUUGGUUCCGAAUCAUCAACGUGAUUGCGGGGGUGAUUGAUAUCAUAAAAUGGAUGGAGGAGACGCGUUGUUGGAGGAAUCCGACUGCUACGGUGUUGGUACAUGCAUUGUUGGUGAUGCUGGUGUGGUUCCCUGAUUUAAUUAUCCCCACCUUGGCAUUUUACAUGUUUGUAGUUGGGGUGUGGAAUUAUAGGUUAAGGUCACGGGAGCCACUGCCGCACUUUGAUCCCA
RNAcentral lists this long non-coding RNA (6087 nucleotides) under Panax ginseng (ginseng). RNAcentral describes it as "long non-coding RNA (PGIN_LNC017969)". The record is from RNAcentral. Lineage: Eukaryota; Viridiplantae; Streptophyta; Magnoliopsida; Apiales; Araliaceae.